AGUUUGAUCAUGGCUCAGAUUGAACGCUGGCGGCAGGCCUAACACAUGCAAGUCGAGCGGAAGGUUCUUCGGAACCGAGAGCGGCGGACGGGUGAGGAAAGCGUGGGAAUCUGCCUGUAGAUGGGGGAUAGCCCGGAGAAAUCCGGAUUAAUACCGCAUAAUACCUGAGGGUUAAAGUGGAGGAUCGCAAGACUUCACGUCUACAGAUGAGCCCACGUCAGAUUAGCUAGUUGGUAGGGUAAAGGCCUACCAAGGCGACGAUCUGUAGCUGGCCUGAGAGGGUGGCCAGCCACACUGGAACUGAGACACGGUCCAGACUCCUACGGGAGGCAGCAGUGGGGAAUAUUGGACAAUGGGCGCAAGCCUGAUCCAGCCAUGCCGCGUGUGUGAAGAAGGCCUUCGGGUUGUAAAGCUCUUUCAGCAGGAACGAAACGGUGGUCCCUAAUACGGACUACUAAUGACGGUACCUGAAGAAGAAGCACCGGCUAACUACGUG
RNAcentral lists this ribosomal RNA (496 nucleotides) under uncultured bacterium. RNAcentral's name for it is "bacterial SSU rRNA". It matches the Rfam family "Bacterial small subunit ribosomal RNA", at positions 10 to 507 of the family's 1533-position model. The record is from RNAcentral.